Molecule: long non-coding RNA, 331 nt
Filed under: Mytilus galloprovincialis (Mediterranean mussel)
Lineage: Eukaryota; Metazoa; Mollusca; Bivalvia; Mytilida; Mytilidae
Source: RNAcentral
UUUCCAUUCCUAAUUAUAUAUCAUUGUAGAAAAAAUUUAUUUUAUACAUUUAAAGUACAUGUAAUUCUUUAUGCUAGCUAGUCCAUGAAUAAAAUUGCAUAAAUCACAAAAACACAUUCGGGAAUAGCAAGAAAGUUUACCAAAAAAGUAGUGGGAACUUUACUGUUUUUUUUUAUCAUAUAUAUUUCUGAUAGUUUUCCCGACCUAUUCACCUAUUUUCAAACUUGAAAAGGGACCUCUUUCAGCGGCACGAGCCUGGAACAUGUACACAUGACAGUUGUAAGUAACAGCUAUAUAAAUAUACAAGAGAAGAUGUGGUAUGAUUGCGAAU